AACGAACGCUGGCGGCAGGCCUAACACAUGCAAGUCGAGCGGACCCUUCGGGGUUAGCGGCGGACGGGUGAGUAACGCGUGGGAAUAUGCCCUUCUCUACGGAAUAGUCCUGGGAAACUGGGGGUAAUACCGUAUACGCCCUUUGGGGGAAAGAUUUAUCGGGGAAGGAUUAGCCCGCGUUGGAUUAGGUAGUUGGUGGGGUAAUGGCCUACCAAGCCGACGAUCCAUAGCUGGGUUGAGAGGAUGAUCAGCCGCACUGGGACUGAGACACGGCCCAGACUCCUCCGGGAGGCAGCAGUGGGGAAUCUUAGACAAUGGGGGCAACCCUGAUCUAGCCCUGCCGCGUGAGUGAUGAAGGCCUUAGGGUUGUAAAGCUCUUUCAGCUGGGAAGAUAAUGACGGUACCAGCAGAAGAAGCCCCGGCUAACUCCGUG
Molecule: ribosomal RNA, 433 nt
Filed under: uncultured bacterium
Lineage: Bacteria
Description: partial 16S ribosomal RNA
Rfam family: Bacterial small subunit ribosomal RNA
Source: RNAcentral